This 1036-nucleotide ribosomal RNA is filed under the name Triticum aestivum (bread wheat). RNAcentral describes it as "partial small subunit ribosomal RNA". The record is from RNAcentral. Lineage: Eukaryota; Viridiplantae; Streptophyta; Magnoliopsida; Poales; Poaceae.
AAAAAGAAGAAAAAACUGGUUGUUCCCCCGACGCGAGUAACCUCGACGAGCACAGAACGCCGCCCGCCGCCCGUCGUUCGCUGGGUUUCCUCGGAGUUUGUCUGACUUCUCCAAUCAGAGCAUUGCAGAGGGAAAAUAGUAAUGGAGUUGAUAAAUGCUAACCCUGUGAUUCAUGAGAAAAGGGAGAGGCGCAUCCGGCAGGCACCAGAAAACAUAGAUGAAAAUGCACCAGAGGCCAUAGACCAGCUUGAAAUAUUUGAUCAUAUUAGAGACAUAAAGGACCCAGAACAUCCAUACUCAUUGGAAGACCUUAAUGUGGUAAAUGAAGACUCAGUCGAAAUCAAUGAUGAACUUAGUCAUGUCAGGGUUACUUUCACCCCAACAGUGGAGCAUUGCAGUAUGGCCACUAUCAUUGGCCUUUGCUUACGUGUGAAGCUCAUGCGGAGUCUUCCACCUCGUUACAAGGUGGACAUACGGUUGACGCCUGGAUCACAUGCAACUGAAGCUGCCGUGAACAAGCAACUGAGUGACAAAGAACGCGUCGCGGCCGCGCUGGAGAAUUCAAACCUGCUGGACAUAGUGGAGGAGUGCCUGUCACCGACGCUCGGCUGAGACCUGAGUAGGACUGGAAACCAGUGCGUGGAUACAUUCCCAGACUACAGGAGAUUACAUAUGCUAUGCCACUCAGCAUAUUAUUACUUUGAUUGAUGUUUGAGAAGAAUUCUUUAAUUAGGUGGCGCAGGACGUGUGCAUGAAUUCUGAGGCCCUGCGCCUCUCUGAGAACGUUGCUGCCGCUUAAGCUCUCGUAUCGUAGUGCCAGUAUGUAGGUCGUCGAGUGCUGCUAUUUUUUUCUUGGAGGAACUGGGUGCUGCUAUGUUUUUGUACGGUGCUGAUUGUACAUCGAGGGAUGUAGUGUGGUGGUCCGUGCUGUAAAAUUUUGUCAUGUUUACGGAGAAGGGUCUAUGUUUAUCCUUUUUUUAACCUCAUGUUCUAUCCUUUUUAGUCAUGCUUCAGUUGCUGAAUAAAAUAAAAGAGC